UCCGUAGGGGGCUAUCGUUAUCCGGAAUUACUGGGCGUAAAGGGUGCGUAGGUGGUUUCUUAAGUCAGAAGUGAAAGGCUACGGCUCAACCGUAGUAAGCGUUUGAAACUGAGAAACUUGAGUGCAGGAGAGGAGAGUAGAAUUCCUAGUGUAGCGGUGAAAUGCGUAGAUAUUAGGAGGAAUACCAGUAGCGAAGGCGGCUCUCUGGACUGUAACUGACACUGAGGCACGAAAGCGUGGGGAGUAAACAGG
This 252-nucleotide ribosomal RNA is filed under the name uncultured bacterium. RNAcentral's name for it is "partial 16S ribosomal RNA". It matches the Rfam family "Bacterial small subunit ribosomal RNA", at positions 524 to 776 of the family's 1533-position model. The record is from RNAcentral.